CGGUGCUGCUGCCAGGCCCUCGGCUUCAGCCGCCAAUCAUACGCACUUCCUCCGCGGGGACAGAGAGACUCUGAGAGAGGAGGACAGAAGAGGAGUGUUCUCCUUGACUUUCCGAGACAGCUCAGAGAGCUCCAUCAAGCGCCGCCGCUACAGAUUCUGUAACAGGUCACUGUAAGUGGGAAGUGUGCGAAGGUACGAUGGAGGGGAAGACGAUUGCUCAUUUAACGUGUCUGAUGGUAAUGUUGAUUUCAGUAGCUUCUCAAGACGCAGGUACAGUAUAUAUUUGACCUUAUACAGUAUGUAAGUUAAUUCAUGAUUUGGCUGCCACCAUGUUUUUAACAUUGGAUCAUGCAUAGUAUUCCAACGCUAAACUGUCUUGGAUUUAUUUGCAUUAGGUCAGGCAGGCACACAGUAUUACGUUUGCUGUUUUUUUAACCCACAUAUUAUGUUUGGGGUCUAUCUGACCCAAUUUAGUGUUUGACAUCUCUUAAAAACCAGUUGAACUUUUUUCAUUUUUCACAAAAUGUUCUAUUUUGGUGGGAUUAAAUGGUAAAGAUGCAAUAAACAUAAUGCUUUGUUUUAAGAAGUCCUGUACCAACUUUGCAUGUGUUGUAUGGGCUUAUUUUGACUCUCUGUAACUGUAUAAAAUAUCAGAAAAUAUGCAUCCAUUUUUAUUUUUAUUUACUUUGUGGAUGAUUCUGGUGGCACUUUCCCAAACAGGUGCCAAACUCUCACAGAUUUUUAAUAUUCAUGGAUAAAAGGCUCGUCAUUUGGGAGACAAUAAGAAGGCAACACACAAAUAAUUUUGUGUUUAUUUAAACUCUUUAACCUAAAAGCAGUCAUCGACUCUUAACAUAAUAGGAGCGUUAAACCGAGGUGCUGCAGU
This is a long non-coding RNA of Conger conger (European conger), 886 nucleotides long. RefSeq lists it as uncharacterized. The record is from RefSeq and is a predicted model, not a curated record. NCBI's taxonomy places the organism in Eukaryota, Metazoa, Chordata, Actinopteri, Anguilliformes, Congridae. The transcript has 3 exons.